CUCUGUUAAAAAUAGCUACUGCCGACUGAGUUUCUACUGUGUAUCAGGCCCUGAGUUCUUAGCUCGUUUGAUUUUCACAGCCACGAAGAAGACACUGCUAUUCCCGUAUUACAGGUGAGGAAGCUGGAGCUCAGAGAGGUUAGCAGGGUCACACAGCAGGUACACGGCAGAGUUUGGGUUAUACCACAGCUCUGCUGGAGCCCGCCUUACUGUGUUGGGGGUACUGCCCUAAGAACGCCACAUAUAAUAAAUCUAAGUAGGUACUGUCAUAAUGUCCAUUCCACGGAUGAGUCACUGUAUCUUGGAGCUCUGCCAUACGAAUUCUCUUACCCGCCCAGCAUAGACAGUCGUGGAAGCCAGAAGAGCUGGCAGAGUCUAGAAAUCGGCUGUCCCCACUCUCACUGCGUACCAGAAGAAAGUGGACCCUCUUUCUCACUUCCUAAGAAUACCCCCACGAGGUGACAGCAUAUCCUCUCAGCCCGUGGCAGGAGACCUCCCCUACAAAGCCCUAUUGACCAGAAGAGUCCCAUUGCCUGGAUUCCAUCCACCAUGAAAGCCUGCCAGAGCGUAUCUGAAAUGAAGCUCCAAAUUCCCAAAGGUUUGCAGGAUCGGAGCAGAAUGGAGAGACCUGUGGCGGUAGAGUCAUGUCAACAAACCACAGUGACACAUGAGGACAUGGAUGAAUCCCACAAGCAUAGAACACAAAAAAGCACAGCGUGUGAGAGAGACUCCAUUGCCACGACGUUCCACAACAGUCAAGCUCAUGUGUGAUUUCACAAGUCAGGGCAGCAGUUCCCCACAGCUGUACAUGCUGAUUAGAGGGGGUUACUAGAGGUCUUCCUUCAGGGGAUGCUGCUGAUGUUGUCUAUUUGGUGUUGGUUACAUGGGUGUGUUCACAUUGCAAUAAUUCAUCCCACUGUUCACUAAGGUUUGUGCAUUUUCUUGGAUGUAUGUUACAUUUCCAUGCAUUUGAAUGAUAAUAAUGAGGAUGAUGAUGAUGGUUUAAUUUCUUUUCUUAGUGCCUGUAAUCCUAGCACUUUGGGAGGCUGAGGCAGGAGGAUCACUUGAGGCCAGGAGUUUGAGACCACCCUGGGCAACAUAGCCAGACCUUAUCUCUAUAAAAAAUAAAAAUUAGGCCGGGCGGGGUGGCUCA
This 1153-nucleotide long non-coding RNA is filed under the name Piliocolobus tephrosceles (Ugandan red Colobus). RNAcentral describes it as "lncRNA (ENSPTEG00000004659.1)". Lineage: Eukaryota; Metazoa; Chordata; Mammalia; Primates; Cercopithecidae. The record is from RNAcentral.